GUGGGGAAUAUUGCGCAAUGGGGGAAACCCUGACGCAGCGACGCCGUGUGAGUGAAGAAGGCUUUCGGGUCGUAAACCUCUGUCAGAAAGGAAGAACCUCCCAAGUCCGAAUAGGGCUUGGGACUGACGGUACUUUCAAAGGAAGCACCGGCUAACUCCGUGCCAGCAGCCGCGGUAAUACGGAGGGUGCAAGCGUUAAUCGGAAUCACUGGGCGUAAAGCGCGCGUAGGCCGCUUUGUAAGUCGGACGUGAAAGCCCUCGGCUCAACCGGGGAACUGCGUUCGAUACUGCGAGGCUUGAGUCCUGGAGAGGGUGGCGGAAUUCCGGGUGUAGGAGUGAAAUCCGUAGAUAUCCGGAGGAACACCGGUGGCGAAGGCGGCCACCUGGACAGGUACUGACGCUGAGGCGCGAAAGCGUGGGGAGCAAACAGGAUUAGAAACCCGUGUAGUCC
Molecule: ribosomal RNA, 451 nt
Filed under: uncultured bacterium
Lineage: Bacteria
Description: partial 16S ribosomal RNA
Rfam family: Bacterial small subunit ribosomal RNA
Source: RNAcentral